This 66-nucleotide transfer RNA is filed under the name marine eukaryotic metagenome. It matches the Rfam family "tRNA", at positions 5 to 66 of the family's 71-position model. From Rfam's summary of the family: Transfer RNA (tRNA) molecules are approximately 80 nucleotides in length. Their secondary structure includes four short double-helical elements and three loops (D, anti-codon, and T loops). The record is from RNAcentral.
CCGUAGCUCAAUUGGAUAGAGCAUCUGACUACGAAUCAGAAGGUUGGGAGUUCGAGUCUCUCCGGG